RNAcentral lists this small RNA (68 nucleotides) under Psychrobacillus sp. FJAT-21963. Its description in RNAcentral is "Bacillaceae-1 RNA". It matches the Rfam family "Bacillaceae-1 RNA". The record is from Rfam by way of RNAcentral. Lineage: Bacteria; Bacillati; Bacillota; Bacilli; Caryophanales; Bacillaceae.
UCAAAUGGAAGGCAAUCUAAGUUCGCCGCGUCCUGCGGCAAUUAUUGCAUGACCCAACAUCGUGUUGG